RNAcentral lists this ribosomal RNA (253 nucleotides) under uncultured bacterium. RNAcentral describes it as "partial 16S ribosomal RNA". It matches the Rfam family "Bacterial small subunit ribosomal RNA", at positions 524 to 776 of the family's 1533-position model. The record is from RNAcentral.
UACAGAGGGUGCGAGCGUUGUCCGGAAUCACUGGGCGUAAAGGGCGCGUAGGUGGCGCGACAAGUCAGUGGUGAAAGUUCGACGCUCAACGUCGAAUCGGCCACUGAUACUGUUGGGCUUGAGCACUGUAGAGGCUAAUGGAAUUCCGGGUGUAGCGGUGGAAUGCGUAGAGAUCGGGAGGAACAUCAGUGGCGAAGGCGGCCAUCUGGGACAACACUGACGCUGAGGCACGAAAGCGUGGGGAGCAAACAGG